UACGUAGGGGGCAAGCGUUAUCCGGAUUUACUGGGUGUAAAGGGAGCGCAGACGGCGGUGCAAGUCUGAUGUGAAAACCGGGGGCUCAACCCCCAGGUUGCAUUGGAAACUGCACGGCUGGAGUGCCGGAGGGGCAAGCGGAAUUCCUGGUGUAGCGGUGAAAUGCGUAGAUAUCAGGAGGAACACCGGUGGCGAAGGCGGCUUGCUGGACGGCAACUGACGUUGAGGCUCGAGAGCGUGGGGAG
RNAcentral lists this ribosomal RNA (245 nucleotides) under uncultured Lachnospiraceae bacterium. RNAcentral's name for it is "partial 16S ribosomal RNA". It matches the Rfam family "Bacterial small subunit ribosomal RNA", at positions 524 to 768 of the family's 1533-position model. Lineage: Bacteria; Bacillati; Bacillota; Clostridia; Lachnospirales; Lachnospiraceae. The record is from RNAcentral.